Long non-coding RNA from Nilaparvata lugens (brown planthopper), 1159 nucleotides. RefSeq lists it as uncharacterized. The transcript has 3 exons. Lineage: Eukaryota; Metazoa; Arthropoda; Insecta; Hemiptera; Delphacidae. The record is from RefSeq and is a predicted model, not a curated record.
CAGAGUCAGAAGUUUUCUGUUCUCCGUAGUGGUAGGUUGUUGUGAAUUUGUUUCAGUUAGUUAUGAAAGUUUGCUACGGCUGCUAUUUGUUUUGUUUGAAUAAAAAAGAUUAAAUUUACUGUUAAUUUAUAUGUUUUUAAUUUAUCAUAAUUCAUAAUGCAGUGUGAUGUAUGGAAUUUUUGUUGAGUGAACUUCGUGAAAGUGAAAGGAAUCUUUGACUGUUGCCUACGUGCAUCCAAAUAUUUGCGAACGAGGAAGUUGAAUGAUAUUUCUUGAGGAUAGGAAGAUGUUCAAUCGAUCACAUCCAAUUCAGUGGAUAGUCCAGUGAAAUGGGUAGAUAUAGAACUUAUACGUCCUCUCAUAGACUUGUAGAGUGCCUACAUCCGUCUGGAGGAGAAGGUGGUGCAGGAGGAGGAGGAGUUGGUGCAGGAGUGGUGGAGAUAAUGGACUUUGAAUGGGAUGGGGGAGACAGCUCUUCACUGCCAACAAAUUGUAAAUUGUAAUUGUUGUAUUGUUGUAAAUCCAGCUACCAUCACAUAUUUACAGCUCCAAAACUGGGGAAAGGUCACAGUCGAAUUAUCGAGGACAAAAAGUGGAUGGAGAAACAUGCUGGAAGAGGAAGAGGUUGUAUCUUCACACCAGCAGAGGAGGGGGAGUGGCUGGAGUGUUCAUCAUCAUCAUCCAGUCGCACUUGUGAGCAGCCAGUACAUGCAGCUAUUUUUGCAAUAGUAAAAACUGUUUUUUGUGCAACAAUGAAUUUAAAGUCAACGGUAUUCAAUGCAGACAUCAUUUGCAUAUGACUGGGAUGUAUCUCGGUGCAAUGCAUAAAUCUUGUAAUUUAAAUGCAAAAGCGCCAAAAUUCUUAAAUCAAUCGUGGUGUACCAGGUACAUUUGAAGAUGAAUUAAAUGGGUCCAUAAUUACUGCUCUUAUUGGAUUACAAGCGAAACUUUACUGUUUUGAAUAUGUUCUAAGCAACAGCAGUAGUAGUUGUAGUAGUAGUAGUAGUAGUAGUAGUAGUAGUAAGGAUUUAGCAAGUAGUUCUUCUGAAAUAAUACUGCUAAGGGUGUACCGAGAAUGGUUAUAGAUAAUAAACUGAGGUAUGAUUUGUAUAUGAAAUGCCUGACAGAUAGAUUAAUACAAUGCAAAUGCUUUUCACAA